CCUAGUCCCGGUUCUUCGUAACCUCUUUCCUUUUCUUGCGUCGCGACGCAUCGGGCCGGCUGCAGAACUUCCUAAGCCAGCAAACUCAUGACGGGCCACAUCCCCGGGAUCUACAGCCGGAUCUGGCCGACUCAGACAAGGAGGGGUCCAGAGGUGACUUGGAGGAGGAGGAAGGAGACAACACUGAGCUUGCCGAAAACGGUGGGUCCAGCCAAGCCGGUAAGUCAUCGACUCGAGAUCCCUGCGCGACAGGACGGACGAUAAUGAAGAUGACCUGAGUGGUGUGCACGAUGGAGCAAGACUAACCGCGGAGGCAGCUGCCAGCAUCGCCCCGUGGAGGCGAUUGCGGUAGAUGGCUGGAGCCGGACCAUCCAGCGAGCUGACAGGCACCAGGCGGCCGCAUGAGAAGGAUACGGUCAAGCCGCGGCCGGCUGAGAAGCGCCUAGCCGCGACGCAGUUGGGGGUAGAACAAGGAUCGUCAAGAAGACGACCGGCUCCCCUCGUCAGUGGGCCCGAAACAGGAUGUUCCUACGGCCUUCAGGUUAGUGUUCUUCUAUUCUGAUUCGUUUCUCGCUGUCCUUCUAUGUUUGUGUUGUCUUUCUUCCCCCCUCACGCCUGCAGUGCACCACUGGAGUUGUCGGAGACAGCCGCCCCGGACGUGCCUGGAGGCGGAGCCGGCCGGCCAAGCAUUGGGAGUAGCACGUAUGGAGGCGAGCCAACCAGGACCAUCAGGGAAGAGCUUGUGGCCUGGCAGACCGACGUGGAGCCCGAGGAGGCCAAGCACACCGCAUGGAGGGAGCAGGCGGAGGCCGUGAAGGAGGCGGAGGAGGCCUCAGCAGCAGCAUGGAAGGCCGCCACGGGGAUGUGAGGGAGGGCCGCCGAGGACCCCGCGUGGCUGGCGUGGGAGGAGAUCCCACUGCCACCAUCACCGGUUUGGGAGCAUCGCGCAAAAUCUGUGCACGAUCCGGCUCGCCGGGUGGAGGCCAACGCCUAACUUGUCACCGAAGCAGCUGACCGUGGCGAGAUGGGCGACCACUAGCCGGAUGCCAACCAAACCAUCCUCGCGGAGUCCCUGCUGGCUAUCAACCCAUCCGACGGGGCCGAGCGCGAGGACGACUGAUGCCGCAAGCCGGAGACCACGCCAAUAUGCGGCUGAGCGCCACCGCCGAAUGCGGAGGACAUGACUGCAGGCUCCAGCGCCAUGGUGGUCAUCGGGACACAGACAACAGGGGCCAGCCUCAAAUCGAGGCCGGAUGGGAGUGGGACCAACGCUGGGUCCUCAGCUCGGGUGCAGCGGAGCUGGGCGAAUGCUGGCUAGGUCAUGAGCGAGGCACGCACCGAUGACCUAGAUGCGGCGAUGAAUGCCGUGGAUCUGCGGUUUGCCGACAACAGCAGCCACCUAAAGAGCUUUGUCCAGGCGGAGCAGGGCCAAAUGCAGCAGCUCGUGAAGAUCGUCGCGGUAAGUCCUUUGUCUUCUAUUUUUUCUACGGCUUGCUUUUUCCCUUUCCUUCUUCUCGAACGUCUUGGUCGCUCUCCGAUGGGGGCACAUCAUCGCACCUAGUUGGUGUAGCCCUCGAGGCUAGGGGGGCUACGCAAUAGGCGGGUCGGGCAUUCACCUGGGUUUCCUCUUCUUAACUUUCUUCCUCGCACACCAUCUACGACUUGAGGGUGGACGUGUACAUCCGUCUUCUAGGCCGGUACCGCGAGGCCAAGACCCGGCUCGCCGCCAAGAAGAAGAAGCUACGCCAAGCCCAAGCCACUGCCGCCAAAGUGCCAGACCUCCGAAGCUGAUUGUACCGGGCCGGCCGGCGACAUGACCAUGUUGUCGCGGAGCGCGACCAUUUCCAAGUGGAGGUGAGCCGUCCAGCGGCCGAGAGGGACCAGUCCGGUGGGCGCCCAUCUGGUCGAGUUGGGCGGGCUUGCGAAGGAGCACCGCAAGGCGAUGGCUCGAAAGGAUGAGCAGUUGGCGAAGGCCACAGAGGAGGUUGCCUAGCUCAAGGAAGGUCAUGCAAGACACGCCAGCGCGUGGUUCCUGAAGGAUCAUGGGAUGCUGGCGGAGGUGCAGCACGUCGACGAGCUCCUCACCUGGGUCAUCCCCGAGACGCAUGCGCCAGCCGAGGCGGCCUUGAACACCUACCGGGCUGAAGAAAGGGCGGAGGUGAUGAGGCAUGGACUAGUGAGAUGUUAAUUCAUGUGUGUAGAUGGCCCGAUCUUUCACGAUGAUGCUAGAUGACUAAUUCUUCCCCUUGUUCCUCCUCGCGGCCUUCAAUAUAUAUAUCUGUACCUGUGCAUUAUCA
Molecule: long non-coding RNA, 2297 nt
Organism: Aegilops tauschii subsp. strangulata
Lineage: Eukaryota; Viridiplantae; Streptophyta; Magnoliopsida; Poales; Poaceae
Source: RefSeq, a predicted model, not a curated record